GACAAAGACAAAAACAGUCCACAUGUGAUUUCUUCUAUUUUGGAAUGUGUAGAUCACUCACUUAACUUUCCCUGAGCUUCAUGAGCUCUGCCUUCCAGUUUAAGCCCUGGAAAUACAUAACGAAGCACAAAAGCCAGCUUUGCUUUAUGAGCUCCAUGGAAAAGACACACAAUAAAAUGGUCAUAUUUUAAUGUGAAAAAUGUUAAUGACAAGUAAAGCCAAGUGUGUCAAGGGGACAUAGUAAAGGGGCCUAAUGUGGCUUGGAGAGUCAGGGAGGGCUCGUGCUUUGUACAACGGCUUUGUAUCUAAACUCUCAUACAAAGGGUGAGAAGUUGGCCAGGCAAAGAUGGGGAAUUUGUGGAAGGGGUCAUGAAAGAUUUGAGGGCUGGAAGAAAUUUCACUCUGGCUAGGGCAUAGAGCGCGAACUAGGUUCUCAGACCCGAAGCCAGAGGAAUGAGUAGAAACUACAUCACGGGACCUUGGAAACCAACGUUAAGAAGCUGCCAAAGCACCUUGAGGAGAAAGACUUGAUUAGUAUUAUAUUGAAACAUGAAUUAUUUGGGAAAUGUCAAGGUGUCUGAAAAGUGGAAUGAGUUAAAAUUGAGGAAGGAAGCAUUCUAGGUGUGAUAUUACAUUUUUUACUUGAAAGUCAUUAAUCCAGACAAAGCUCAGAAUCUUAGGAGACUUACUCUGGACCUCAGGAUAUCUCAUCACGAGCAAAAUUCCCCAGUGCAAUGUGGAGGCUGUGGUCUCUGUACCUGUCGUGAACAGAUUAUUAACAAGUGUCACCAACUUUUUAUCACUGAAAUAGUCAGCAAAUGUGUCAUUCUCCUGAAAGAGUAAAAUGAACCACCG
RNAcentral lists this long non-coding RNA (855 nucleotides) under Homo sapiens (human). Its description in RNAcentral is "HSALNT0106977". Lineage: Eukaryota; Metazoa; Chordata; Mammalia; Primates; Hominidae. The record is from RNAcentral.